This 326-nucleotide ribosomal RNA is filed under the name uncultured eukaryote. RNAcentral describes it as "partial 18S ribosomal RNA". It matches the Rfam family "Eukaryotic small subunit ribosomal RNA", at positions 1470 to 1796 of the family's 1831-position model. The record is from RNAcentral.
CCCUUAGAUGUUCUGGGCCGCACGCGCGCUACACUGAUGCAUUCAACAAGCCUAGCCUUGACCGAGAGGUCCGGGUAAUCUUUGAAACUGCAUCGUGAUGGGGCUAGAUUAUUGCAAUUAUUAAUCUUCAACGAGGAAUGCCUAGUAAGCGUGAUUCAUCAAAUCGCGUUGAUUACGUCCCUGCCCUUUGUACACACCGCCCGUCGCUCCUACCGAUUGAAUGUGUUGGUGAGGAGCUCGGGUUGGCAGCAGUUGGUGGUUCGCCACCGGCUAUUGCUGAGAAGUCCUCCAAACCGCCCCAUUUAGAGGAAGGAGAAGUCGUAACA